RNAcentral lists this ribosomal RNA (180 nucleotides) under uncultured Glomeromycotina. Its description in RNAcentral is "partial small subunit ribosomal RNA". The stretch from base 93 to 180 matches the Rfam family "Eukaryotic small subunit ribosomal RNA", at positions 738 to 828 of the family's 1831-position model. The record is from RNAcentral. Lineage: Eukaryota; Fungi; Glomeromycota.
GGCCUGGCUGGGUGGUCUUGCCGAAAGGUAAGCACUGCUCCGGUCGGGUCUUUCUUUCUGGGGAAUCGGUGUGCUCUUAAUUGAGUGCGCCGGGGAUCCAGGACUUUUACUUUGAAAAAAUUAGAGUGUUUAAAGCAGGCUCACGCUUGAAUACAUUAGCAUGGAAUAAUAGAAUAGGAC